GGAUACAGCUACAGAUAAGAGCUCUUGGUUUAUUCCGGUGUUUCAAUAGCUACAGAUGCUGUUGCAAAAUGAGGCAAGAGUGAGUUCUGCCAAGAGCAAUGUCCAUCAUGCAAAAUGCCUACUACCUAGGAGCUUUCAGAAGAAGUAAGACAAAGGCUGAACAUAGAAGUUUGUGUUUCUUUCCUUCAACUGACCCCAUGACAGGAA
This 207-nucleotide long non-coding RNA is filed under the name Pan troglodytes (chimpanzee). RNAcentral describes it as "long non-coding RNA NONPTRT012848". Lineage: Eukaryota; Metazoa; Chordata; Mammalia; Primates; Hominidae. The record is from RNAcentral.